GACGAACGCUGGCGGCGUGCUUAACACAUGCAAGUCGAACGGAAAGGCCCUGCUUUUGUGGGGUGCUCGAGUGGCGAACGGGUGAGUAACACGUGAGUAACCUGCCCUUGACUUUGGGAUAACUUCAGGAAACUGGGGCUAAUACCGGAUAGGAGCUCCGGCUGCAGGGGGGGGGUUGGAAAGUUUCGGCGGUUGGGGAUGGACUCGCGGCUUAUCAGCUUGUUGGUGGGGUAGUGGCUUACCAAGGCUUUGACGGGUAGCCGGCCUGAGAGGGUGACCGGCCACAUUGGGACUGAGAUACGGCCCAGACUCCUACGGGAGGCAGCAGUGGGGAAUAUUGCACAAUGGGCGGAAGCCUGAUGCAGCAACGCCGCGUGCGGGAUGACGGCCUUCGGGUUGUAAACCGCUUUCGCCUGUGACGAAGCGUGAGUGACGGUAAUGGGUAAAGAAGCACCGGCUAACUACGUG
Molecule: ribosomal RNA, 468 nt
Filed under: uncultured bacterium
Lineage: Bacteria
Description: partial 16S ribosomal RNA
Rfam family: Bacterial small subunit ribosomal RNA
Source: RNAcentral